RNAcentral lists this ribosomal RNA (909 nucleotides) under uncultured bacterium. Its description in RNAcentral is "bacterial SSU rRNA". It matches the Rfam family "Bacterial small subunit ribosomal RNA", at positions 33 to 957 of the family's 1533-position model. The record is from RNAcentral.
ACGCUGGCGGCGCGCCUAACACAUGCAAGUCGAACGGUUAAAGCACCUUUUAGGUGUGUAUAAAGUGGCGAACGGCUGAGUAACACGUGGGCAACCUGCCCUCCUCUUGGGGAUAGCCUCGGGAAACCGAGGAUAAUACCCGAUACUUCAAUGUGGCCGCAUGACGACAUUGAGAAAGCUUUUGCGGAGAAGGAUGGCCCGCGGCCUGUUAGCUUGUUGGUGGGGUAGAGGCCUACCAAGGCAAUGAUGGGUAGCUGGGUUGAGAGACCGACCAGCCAGAUUGGGACUGAGACACGGCCCAGACUCCUACGGGAGGCAGCAGUGGGGAAUCUUGCACAAUGGGCGAAAGCCUGAUGCAGCGACGCCGCGUGCGGGACGAAGGCCUUCGGGUUGUAAACCGCUUUCAGCAGGGACGAGGCGUAAGUGACGGUACCUGCAGAAGAAGCCCCGGCUAACUACGUGCCAGCAGCCGCGGUAAUACGUAGGGGGCAAGCGUUAUCCGGAUUCAUUGGGCGUAAAGCGCUCGUAGGCGGUCUGUUAGGUCGGGAGUUAAAUCCGGAGGCUCAACCUCCGCCCGCCCCCGAUACCGGCAGACUUGAGUUUGGUAGGGGAAGGUGGAAUUCCUAGUGUAGCGGUGGAAUGCGCAGAUAUUAGGAAGAACACCAGUGGCGAAGGCGGCCUUCUGGGCCAUAACUGACGCUGAGGAGCGAAAGCUAGGGGAGCAAACAGGAUUAGAUACCCUGGUAGUCCUAGCUGUAAACGAUGGACACUAGGUGUGGGAGAAUACGUCUUCCGUGCCGCAGCUAACGCAUUAAGUGUCCCGCCUGGGGAGUACGGCCGCAAGGCUAAAACUCAAAGGAAUUGACGGGGACCCGCACAAGCAGCGGAGCAUGUGGUUUAAUUCGAAGC